UACGUAGGGUGCAAGCGUUAAUCGGAAUUACUGGGCGUAAAGCGUGCGCAGGCGGUUAUGCAAGACAGAGGUGAAAUCCCCGGGCUCAACCUGGGAACUGCAUUUGUGACUGCAUGGCUAGAGUGCGGCAGAGGGGGAUGGAAUUCCGCGUGUAGCAGUGAAAUGCGUAGAUAUGCGGAGGAACACCGAUGGCGAAGGCAAUCCCCUGGGCCUGCACUGACGCUCAUGCACGAAAGCGUGGGGAGCAAACAGG
Molecule: ribosomal RNA, 253 nt
Filed under: uncultured bacterium
Lineage: Bacteria
Description: partial 16S ribosomal RNA
Rfam family: Bacterial small subunit ribosomal RNA
Source: RNAcentral